RNAcentral lists this ribosomal RNA (228 nucleotides) under uncultured bacterium. RNAcentral's name for it is "partial 16S ribosomal RNA". It matches the Rfam family "Bacterial small subunit ribosomal RNA", at positions 28 to 253 of the family's 1533-position model. The record is from RNAcentral.
GAUGAACGCUAGCGGCAGGCCUAAUACAUGCAAGCCGAACGGCAAGCUUUGUAGCAAUACAGAGCCUAGAGUGGCGUAAGGGUGCGUAACACGUAUGGAAUCUGCCCUCAACAGGAGGAUAGCUCCCCGAAAGGGGAAUUAACACUCCAUAGGAUAUAGGUGUGGCAUCACAUUUAUAUUAAACCGCAAGGGGUUGAGGAUGAGCAUGCGCAUGAUUAGUUAGUUGGC